This 285-nucleotide ribosomal RNA is filed under the name uncultured prokaryote. RNAcentral's name for it is "partial 16S ribosomal RNA". It matches the Rfam family "Bacterial small subunit ribosomal RNA", at positions 524 to 819 of the family's 1533-position model. The record is from RNAcentral.
UACGUAUGGGGCAAGCGUUAUCCGGAAUUAUUGGGCGUAAAGAGUGCGUAGGUGGUUUUUUAAGCGUGGGGUUUAAGGCUACGGCUUAACCGUAGUUCGCCCCAUGAACUGGGAGACUUGAGUGCAGGAGAGGAAAGCGGAAUUCCUAGUGUAGCGGUGAAAUGCGUAGAUAUUAGGAGGAACACCGGUGGCGAAGGCGGCUUUCUGGACUGUAACUGACACUGAGGCACGAAAGCGUGGGGAGCAAACAGGAUUAGAUACCCUGGUAGUCCCUGAGCGGGCUGG